UCUUUAAGCUGUCCUGGAUGUUUCUCCGUUUGUAAUACCAUUUUCCCGGCACCAACUAAUACUUGUGCGGCAAACUUAGUUGCUAGUGCACGAGGUAAACCAGUUUUCACUGCUCCAUCAGCUAAUCCUUCCACCAUAAGUUAACUUACAUAAGCUGGACCUGACCCAGCCAAACCACCGGCUGAGUUAAUCAAAUUUUCCGGAAUCUCUUCAAUAAUGCCUAUUUGUGACAGCAUUUUAACCACUGGAAGUGCAUCGCUUUCAGAUACUUGGGCAUUUCGAGAGUAUACUUAAAUAAUAAAAACCACGUAUUUAUUAAAUGCAACGUAAUGAAUAAUAAAAUAAUAAUUUCAUAUAAACAAUUUUUGAAAUACGCACCUGUUAUGCCUUCUCCAAUACUUAACGGUGUGUUUGGCAUUGUUCUGAUAAUUUUCAAAGGUAAUUGUUGUCCUAAAUGUAGUUGAAUUUCCUGAAAGAAUAGCACAAGUUAAUUAAAAAAAUUGAGGAAAAUAAAAACAUUAUUCAAUGAAA
Long non-coding RNA from Cotesia glomerata, 531 nucleotides. RefSeq lists it as uncharacterized. The record is from RefSeq and is a predicted model, not a curated record. Lineage: Eukaryota; Metazoa; Arthropoda; Insecta; Hymenoptera; Braconidae. The transcript is spliced from 2 exons.